CAUCAAUGCGAAAAUCCUCAAUAAGGACUCAUCAAAAAGAUCACCACUGGGAAUCUUGACCUUUGUUGAAAAGGGAAGAGAAAGAGAAGCUUAAUGAGCACAUUGAAGCACUUACCAGAAAGAAGAGGGAAGACUUCUGGAUGAAACCUCUGUGAGUACCUUAACAUUCACGUGGAAGUAGUAAAAAUAAGAUUCUGGGUGCAGUUCUCCAAUGACAGGAAAAAAAAAACAAAGAGAAUUUGAAGAAUACGUCAGAGACAAAUACGUUACAACCAAAGUUGACUUCAAGGCACUUUUGAAGGAGAUCAAAUUUAUAACAAAUAAUAUAGUGAAAGUAAAAGCUUGUGGAAGAUGUUGGAAUCAUCCAUCCUGAAAAUUGAAGCCUUCUGUUCAUCAACAGAACAGCUAAGAAGCUAAUCUAAGAAUGACCAGCACCUGAAAGAUGUAGACAACAUUUUGCAGAAUGAUAAAUGGUAUCGAGUACUGGACUGUGCCUGAGAGGCAUCAACUGAAUGUGGAUGUUGAUGACCUGGACUGUCAGGGUCCACCUCUACCUCCCAGAGCCUCAGAGCCCACAAGACAAAAU
This 586-nucleotide long non-coding RNA is filed under the name Homo sapiens (human). Its description in RNAcentral is "non-protein coding lnc-EYS-5:1". The record is from RNAcentral. Lineage: Eukaryota; Metazoa; Chordata; Mammalia; Primates; Hominidae.